UACGUAGGUGACAAGCGUUGUCCGGAUUUACUGGGCGUAAAGAGCGCGCAGGCGGUCGUUCAAGUCGAGUGUGAAAGCCCCCGGCUCAACUGGGGAGGGUCAUUCGAUACUGAUCGACUCGAAGGCAGGAGAGGGAAGUGGAAUUCCCGGUGUAGUGGUGAAAUGCGUAGAUAUGGGGAGGAACACCAGUGGCGAAGGCGACUACCUGGCCUGUUCUUGACGCUGAGGCGCGAAAGCUAGGGGAGCAAACGGG
Molecule: ribosomal RNA, 253 nt
Filed under: uncultured bacterium
Lineage: Bacteria
Description: partial 16S ribosomal RNA
Rfam family: Bacterial small subunit ribosomal RNA
Source: RNAcentral